RNAcentral lists this microRNA (21 nucleotides) under Gallus gallus (chicken). Its description in RNAcentral is "gga-miR-1663-3p". Lineage: Eukaryota; Metazoa; Chordata; Aves; Galliformes; Phasianidae. The record is from miRBase by way of RNAcentral.
UGGCAUCCAGAACAGCGGUAC